GCAGGGCUUGGCCGGACAGCCGUGCUGACCUUGGCUUGGACUAGCUCACACACCUGCUCCGUGGGUCUCCCAUCAUUCUAGUGGACCCAGUGGGCAGCCCGGAUAUGUUCUUCUCAUGUCAAUGGCAGAGGCAGGAGAGCAAGGAAGCCCAGCCAAUUCAACUAGAGAGAAAUUGAGAAGAAGCAUCCACUGAAGUAUCACAUGGCUUCUUAGAAUUUAUUACACAUUGUUAUUGGGUCACAGCAUGUGAAAACAUGGAGACCGAGAAUACAGAACUGUGUGGAAGUGAAUGAGUCUGCCACCUCUCCUUGUACCUAUCCAGUGUGAAACAAGGCCGUUCAUGCACACGUUACUAUAAAUGCCCUGGAGGCCUUAUGAAUAAUCAUUGGAGCAGUAUCUGCUGCAAGAUAACAUUGUGCUUUAUUUUUGCCUUUAAGUAAAAGGAAUCUGAAAUGAAACACUCUUCAUUUCAGAUAUAAAUCAGCCCCAUAAACUUGAAGCUAACCAGAGAUCCUGAGGCAUUCUCAUUACAUGAAGUAAUUGGUUGGUUGCAAGACUCAAUUGUACUGCAAAGUCUUCCUGAGAAUUCAGAUGAGCAGUUAUGAAGAGUUACACAUCCUCUCACCCCACAUGUUGUAAGAACACAUAGCAUUGGCCAGUGGGGCGAAUGAUUUCUAGUCUCUGAUGAGGCCGGAACUCUCCAGCAAGUGGGCCUGUGACUCAGAAACCCCGGGCAACUUUGAGGUCCCUUUGAGGAAAUGAAACUUCAUCAGAAGCAGCCGAUAUUAAUGAUAUAUUGAGCAUCUAUUGUGUACAUCCAGUCUUCUAGUCUCCUUGGUGACAUUCAUCUUAUUUUACCUUCCCAGUAAAUCAGCAAAAUAAGUACCAUUACCCUCUUUUAUGGAAUAAAACUAAAACUCACAGAGGUUGAGUAACUUUUGAAUCACUCAACCUUCUCAAUGCAUGAAGAAAAAAUCUGACCCAAACAAGAGACAUUGGAGAGGCUUAUUCUUCUUUUUUCAACUUUUUUAACACCAAUAGAAAACGAAGACAGCUGUUCAGCAGAUAUAGCAAGAGGGAGGCUGAGAGGUCUUUCAUCAGGAGGCAUGGUGUGAGCUCGAGGUGAGCUUUUGAUUGCCGUCCACCAGUGCUGUUUGCUGCCGUCGCAGACCCACCGCUGACUUCCAUCCCUCUGGAUCUGGCAGGGUGUCCGCUGUGCUCCUGAUCCAGCGAGGUGCCCAUUGCUGCUCCUGAUCGGGAUAAAGGCUUGCCAUUGUUCCUGCAAGGCUAAGUGCCUGGGUUCGUCCUAAUCGAGCUGAACACUAGUCACUGGGUUCCAUGGUUCUCUUCCGUGACCCAUGGCUUCUAAUAGAGCUAUAACACUCACCGCAUGGCCCAAGAUUCCAUUCCUUGGAAUCCGGGAGGCCAAGAACCCCAGGUCAGAGAACACGAGGCUUGCCACCAUCUUGGAAGUGGACCACCACCAUUUUGGAAGCAGCCCGCCACCAUGUUGGGAGCCCUGGGAGCAAGGACCCCCUGGUAACAUUAGCAUUUGCCUUAACUUUGGGCACUAGAUUAACAUCUCUGGGCUAGAGAGUGGCAGUACGGCUGACAGGCACAGGCACUCUGCCAGGUGAGGUUAGCUGUGAACACAGCAAGGCCCUGAGGAGGGGCAUGGCAGUCUCCUGCCAUCCUGAUGGCUGCCCAUAGAAGAGACUAGGUGUGCCAGAGGCUGACAAGUCUGUCUGCCAAGGCAGACUCACACUAGACAGACUCUUUCUUGACUCUAGAGAGCAAACAGGUUGUUUCCUGAGGUUAUAAAAAUAUAGGGGUAUGGGCCACCUAGGUAGGGAGAAGCAUUUCUUGUUUGCCCUGAAACAAAGAGAUUUAGACUCUAGGGGAGGGAUUGUCUGAGACCUGAAAGGCUGGAAAUUGAAAUGUCUGCUCAGCCCAUAGAAUGCCCUGCAUCAAGGCUUUGAGGCCACCCGCUAUGGACUUUCAAUGUGUGACUUUACCGUGAUAUGAUUAUGCAGGUAUUCAUUUCAUAUUUUUCACCCAAAAUCAAAGCCAUAAUGAGAAAAAAGUUCUUAUAAUCAUUUCUGUGUAUUUUGGUAACAAAGGAAAUGGCUGUUGAUUAUGAUAAUAAAAAAACUGCUCUUCAAAAACUGGC
This is a long non-coding RNA of Pan troglodytes (chimpanzee), 2170 nucleotides long. RefSeq lists it as uncharacterized. The record is from RefSeq and is a predicted model, not a curated record. NCBI's taxonomy places the organism in Eukaryota, Metazoa, Chordata, Mammalia, Primates, Hominidae. The transcript is spliced from 5 exons.